RNAcentral lists this ribosomal RNA (435 nucleotides) under uncultured bacterium. RNAcentral describes it as "bacterial SSU rRNA". It matches the Rfam family "Bacterial small subunit ribosomal RNA", at positions 355 to 786 of the family's 1533-position model. The record is from RNAcentral.
GGAUGAAUAUUGGUCAAUGGGCGGUAGCCUGAACCAGCCAAGUAGCGUGAAGGAUGAAGGUUCUAUGGAUUGUAAACUUCUUUUAUAAAGGAAUAAAGUGAGGCACGUGUGCCUUUUUGUAUGUACUUUAUGAAUAAGGAUCGGCUAACUCCGUGCCAGCAGCCGCGGUAAUACGGAGGAUCCGAGCGUUAUCCGGAUUUAUUGGGUUUAAAGGGAGCGUAGAUGGGUUGUUAAGUCAGUUGUGAAAGUUUGCGGCUCAACCGUAAAAUUGCAAUUGAUACUGGCGUCCUUGAGUACAGUUGAGGUGGGCGGAAUUCGUGGUGUAGCGGUGAAAUGCUUAGAUAUCACGCAGAACUCCGAUUGCGAAGGCAGCAUACCGGCGCUCAACUGACGCUGAGGCACGAAAGCGUGGGGGAUCGAACAGGAUUAGAUACC